CUCAUUCGGAUCGGAGUCUGCAACCCGACUCCGUGAAGCUGGAUUCGCUAGUAAUCGCGCAUCAGCCAUGGCGCGGUGAAUACGUUCCCGGGCCUUGUACACACCGCCCGUCAAGCCAUGGAAGCCGGGGGUGCCAGAAGUGUGCAGCCGCAAGGAGCGCCCUAAGGUAAAACCGGUGACUGGGGCUAAGUCGUAACAAGGUAGC
RNAcentral lists this ribosomal RNA (205 nucleotides) under uncultured bacterium. Its description in RNAcentral is "partial 16S ribosomal RNA". It matches the Rfam family "Bacterial small subunit ribosomal RNA", at positions 1288 to 1500 of the family's 1533-position model. The record is from RNAcentral.